CCUACGGGAGGCAGCAGUGGGGGAUAUUGCACAAUGGGGGAAACCCUGAUGCAGCAACGCCGCGUGAGUGAUGACGGUCUUCGGGUUGUAAAGCCCUGUCUUCAGGGACGAUAAUGCCGGUACCUGAGGAGGACGCCACGGCUAACUACGUGCCAGCAGCCGCGGUAAUACGUAGGUGGCGAGCUUUUUCCGGAUUUACUGGGCGUAAAGGGAGCGUGAGCGGGCUUUUAAGUGAGGUGGUAAAUACUCGGGCUCAACUUGAGUGCUGCAUUUAAAACUGGAAGUCUAGAGUGCAGGAGAGGAGAAUGGAAUUCCUAGUGUAGCGGUGAAAUGCGUAGAGAUUAGGAAGAACACUAGUGGCGAAGGCGAUUCUCUGGACUGUAACUGACGCUGAGGCUCGAAAGCGUGGGGAGCAAACAGGAUUAGAUACCCCAGUAGUC
Molecule: ribosomal RNA, 440 nt
Filed under: uncultured bacterium
Lineage: Bacteria
Description: partial 16S ribosomal RNA
Rfam family: Bacterial small subunit ribosomal RNA
Source: RNAcentral